RNAcentral lists this unclassified non-coding RNA (154 nucleotides) under uncultured Sordariomycetes. RNAcentral's name for it is "sequence contains ITS2". The record is from RNAcentral. Lineage: Eukaryota; Fungi; Ascomycota; Sordariomycetes.
CAACCCUCAAGCCAUGCUUGGUGUUGGGACACUACGCCUCGCGCGUAGGCCCUUAAUAUUAGUGGCGGACCUCCUGUGAUCCCGAGCGUAGUAAUAUUUGCCGCUUUGGAGAGUCGGAGUGCACUAGCCGUUAAACCCCCCUUAUUUUUCUAAA